GACGAACGCUGGCGGCGUGCCUAAUACAUGCAAGUAGAACGCUGAAGGAGGAGCUUGCUCUUCUGGAUGAGUUGCGAACGGGUGAGUAACGCGUAGGUAACCUGCCUGGUAGCGGGGGAUAACUAUUGGAAACGAUAGCUAAUACCGCAUAACAGUAGAUGUUGCAUGACAUUUGCUUAAAAGGUGCAAUUGCAUCACUACCAGAUGGACCUGCGUUGUAUUAGCUAGUUGGUGGGGUAACGGCUCACCAAGGCGACGAUACAUAGCCGACCUGAGAGGGUGAUCGGCCACACUGGGACUGAGACACGGCCCAGACUCCUACGGGAGGCAGCAGUAGGGAAUCUUCGGCAAUGGACGGAAGUCUGACCGAGCAACGCCGCGUGAGUGAAGAAGGUUUUCGGAUCGUAAAGCUCUGUUGUAAGAGAAGAACGAGUGUGAGAGUGGAAAGUUCACACUGUGACGGUAUCCUACCAGAAAGGGACGGCUAACUACGUG
This 495-nucleotide ribosomal RNA is filed under the name uncultured bacterium. Its description in RNAcentral is "partial 16S ribosomal RNA". It matches the Rfam family "Bacterial small subunit ribosomal RNA", at positions 28 to 507 of the family's 1533-position model. The record is from RNAcentral.